This 253-nucleotide ribosomal RNA is filed under the name uncultured bacterium. Its description in RNAcentral is "partial 16S ribosomal RNA". It matches the Rfam family "Bacterial small subunit ribosomal RNA", at positions 524 to 776 of the family's 1533-position model. The record is from RNAcentral.
UACGAGGGGGGCAAGCGUUGUUCGGAAUUAUUGGGCGUAAAGGGCGCGUAGGCGGCUAGAUGUGUCAAAGGUGAAAUCCCUCGGCUCAACUGAGGAACUGCCUUUGAAACUGUCUGGCUUGAGGCCGGGAGAGGGUAGCGGAAUUCCCAGUGUAGCGGUGAAAUGCGUAGAUAUUGGGAGGAACACCAGUGGCGAAGGCGGCUACCUGGACCGGUUCUGACGCUGAGGCGCGAAAGCGUGGGUAGCAAACAGG